CGCUUACCGUGAAUUGCCUCGAUUUCAUACCCGUGGACACGUGAUUUUGUUUGCAAGAAGCGGGUUUCAGAAUAAAGAUCAGAAUGCCACCACCAAUAUCUACAAAGCUGUACAUUGGGAAUCUACCUGAAACAUGCAGAAAGGCUGACCUACAGAAGAUGUUUGAGGCAUAUGGAUCAGUUGUAGAAUGUGACAUUGUCAGGAAUUACUGUUUUAUUCACUUUGAAAAUCCAGAUGAAGCAAAAAUGGCUCAAGCAAAUCUAGAUGGUGUGGAAUUUGAGGGGAUUAAAUUAAAAGUGGAGAUGUCUCACAGCAAAGUAAGACAAAAGCCUGGAAUGGGAGGGAAAGGGGAGUGUUACAGAUGUGGAAAGGAAGGACAUUGGUCAAAGGAUUGCCCAAAGGGACCAUCCCGUGGAAAGCCCCGAGGACCUGAGCCCCCAUACAGGGACCCCUACAGAGAUCCCUAUGAUCCUUACUACAGGGAGAGGUACUUGCCUCCUCCACCACCACAUGACAGAUACAGGCCUUACCCAGAACCCUACGACAGAAGGCCACUCCCCCCUCCACCACCAAGAGACCCAUACUACAGAGAGAGGGACCCAUAUAGUAGACCACCCCCAGAGUAUUAUGGACGUCGAUCACCCCCUCCCCCUCCAAUAAGACCAAGAGAAGAUCCAUAUUAUGAUUCAUACUAUCCAAGAAGAAGCAGUAUUGAGCUUGGAUGAAUUGGUGGGUUUUUCAUCCUGCAAAAGGCCAUAACUUGUGCAGUCCACUGGCAAGACAAUGGGUUACCUGUAAAGAAAAUGCAAGUACUAGACAUGGAAGAUACAAACAGAGCAUAGUAAAAUUUUGAUAAGGGAGCCCUAAAUUCAUAAACUCUGCCGGGUAUUGGUCGCACCAUUUUGCAAGGUUUAUGUGGUAUCCACAAUUGAUACAGAAUAGCCAGAAUCCCAUCUUUUUGGAAGGAAGAUUUGUAGCAGACGAGAGAACAAAGAAGAAGAGUGGUGAUGUUACAGAAGAUGUAAACAUUAAAAUUUGAAUCAUUUACAUGUACAUCUCUUGCUUUUACAUGAUAUAGGAACAUUAUUUGGUUUAUUAGAACCACAUGUUCAAUAGAUUCACGCUUUUCAAAA
Molecule: RNA transcript, 1133 nt
Organism: Ostrea edulis (European flat oyster)
Lineage: Eukaryota; Metazoa; Mollusca; Bivalvia; Ostreida; Ostreidae
Gene name: RNA-binding protein lark-like
Exons: 11
Source: RefSeq, a predicted model, not a curated record